RNAcentral lists this ribosomal RNA (497 nucleotides) under uncultured bacterium. RNAcentral describes it as "partial 16S ribosomal RNA". It matches the Rfam family "Bacterial small subunit ribosomal RNA", at positions 28 to 507 of the family's 1533-position model. The record is from RNAcentral.
GAUGAACGCUGGCGGCGUGCCUAAUACAUGCAAGUCGAGCGAACGGACGAGAAGCUUGCUUCUCUGAUGUUAGCGGCGGACGGGUGAGUAACACGUGGAUAACCUACCUAUAAGACUGGGAUAACUUCGUGAAACCGGAGCUAAUACCGGAUAAUAUUUUGAACCGCAUGGUUCAAAAGUGAAAGACGGUCUUGCUGUCACUUAUAGAUGGAUCCGCGCUGCAUUAGCUAGUUGGUAAGGUAACGGCUUACCAAGGCAACGAUGCAUAGCCGACCUGAGAGGGUGUUCGGCCACACUGGAACUGAGACACGGUCCAGACUCCUACGGGAGGCAGCAGUAGGGAAUCUUCCGCAAUGGGCGAAAGCCUGACGGAGCAACGCCGCGUGAGUGAUGAAGGUCUUCGGAUCGUAAAACUCUGUUAUUAGGGAAGAACAUAUGUGUAAGUAACUGUGCACAUCUUGACGGUACCUAAUCAGAAAGCCACGGCUAACUACGUG